This 399-nucleotide ribosomal RNA is filed under the name uncultured bacterium. RNAcentral describes it as "bacterial SSU rRNA". It matches the Rfam family "Bacterial small subunit ribosomal RNA", at positions 90 to 486 of the family's 1533-position model. The record is from RNAcentral.
GUGCGAGUGCGAACGGGUGAGUAAUAUAUCGGAACGUGCCCAGUAGUGGGGGAUAACUGCUCGAAAGAGCAGCUAAUCCCGCAUACGACCUGAGGGUGAAAGGGGGGGAUCGCAAGACCUCUCGCUAUUGGAGCGGCCGAUAUCAGAUUAGCUAGUUGGUGGGGUAAAGGCCUACCAAGGCAACGAUCUGUAGUUGGUUUGACAGGACGACCAGCCACCUGGGACUGAGACACGGCCCAGACUCCUACGGGAGGCAGCAGUGGGGAAUUUUGGACAAUGGGCGCAAGCCUGAUCCAGCAAUGCCGCGUGCAGGAAGAAGGCCUUCGGGUUGUAAACUGCUUUUGUCAGGGAAGAAAUCCUCUAGGUUAAUACCCUUGGGGGGAGACGGUACGUGAAGAA